AUGAAAAAUUUCAUCAAGGAAAAAGUGCAGUCCUGCCUCAUUUGUCAACAAGCUAAACCAGAAAGAUUCAACUAUCCAGGAUUAUUAUCACCUCUGCCAGUUCCUAAGAAGGCUUGGGAAUAUCUCACUAUGGAUUUUAUAUCUGGAUUGCCAGUAUCAGGUCAAUUUGACUGUAUUUUCCUGGUAAUUGAUAAGUUCGGUUGCUGA
RNAcentral lists this ribosomal RNA (207 nucleotides) under Triticum aestivum (bread wheat). RNAcentral's name for it is "partial small subunit ribosomal RNA". The record is from RNAcentral. Lineage: Eukaryota; Viridiplantae; Streptophyta; Magnoliopsida; Poales; Poaceae.